UGGAGCCACCAUCAUUCUAUAGCUCCUGGUAAAGUCCUCUGCCAGAAGCUGUUGUUACUAUGGUAUUAAUGCACGUGUGUGAGAGUACAAGAUCCAGUUAGAUCUCAUGCAUGCACAAUAAGGCACCAUAAGCAUAAAUUGUGCAUUGUGUGAUAUGACUGUUUUCGUUACCAUUAUGACAGACUGAUGAUGGGAAAUUGUGAAACUUCACCUUUGCCAAAGAAUGGCAAAUACAUGAAGUAAUACAUUCCCUACUUUCUCUCAUAUACAUCUUUUCAUAUUAAGUGUCAAAGUGACAUUGCACUUGCGUGAUUUAUUGACUGCACUGGGUUUUAAUUACAGCGCCAUUGAUCCUUAAUUUUUUUAAGUUUUUGUAUCUUGUCAUAUGUUUCAAAGAUGUUCCAACUCAAAAAGAGCUUAU
This is a non-coding RNA of Pelobates cultripes (western spadefoot toad), 421 nucleotides long. Lineage: Eukaryota; Metazoa; Chordata; Amphibia; Anura; Pelobatidae. The record is from the annotation of a GenBank genome assembly.